AUCCUGUAGCAAUACUUGCCUGAUUUUUAUUCAAUGCAAACAAUUCUUUAGUUCUCUGUAAUGAAAGACCUAUAUAAGAGCUAUUGUUUGCCUUAGUCUAGGAACAGACCUCAAGUAGGAGAGAUUCUGAGCUGCCAGUCCUUGACAACUUGCCCAAAAGCAUCAGAUCUGAUACCAAGGGCAGGAUCUAAUGAUAAAGGGAUGAGAAGCUUCUUUCUUUACCAGCUCAUCUGCAACCUCAUUGCCCUCAAUCCCUUUGUAUCCUUGCAUCUAAACAAGUUGAAUCCUGUUCCUGAUAGUCAUUUCCACAAUGAGAUGUUGUCAUUCCUAUGUGACUGUAUAUCCCAUUCAAAAAAUGAAUUUUUAUUUAAUGGGUCCAAGAAAUUCUUCUCUCAUAACAAUGGAGCUUAUAAUAAUCUUCUUGGGCACUAGCCUCAAUACAAGAUCAGAUGCAAGAAGGAAAUGCUCAAAAGGAUUUCAAGAUCAACAAUAUGAUCAUUUCUUGUACUCAAGUCAUUCUUUGAAUUUUGCUAAGUUCAGUCCUGCAUAUUUUUAACAGAACUUUCCAUCACCAAAUGAUGUAGCUUGUGGUCCACAUCUAAAAUUAUCCUCCUAAAAUAGGAUAUUUGAUAUGUUCUACAAUUUGACCCUUGAUCCACCAUUCUUUCAUCUUUGAACAAAAGCAAUAAAUACAUAUCUGGAAUAUAAAAUUACAUAAAAUCAAGCCUACUAACAGG
Molecule: long non-coding RNA, 737 nt
Filed under: Androctonus crassicauda
Lineage: Eukaryota; Metazoa; Arthropoda; Arachnida; Scorpiones; Buthidae
Source: RNAcentral